AAAAAAAAACUCUGUUGGAACUUAAGGCUCAGUCAAAUAAUCAAUAUGCCUAGUUUGGUUGGAAUAGUAUGCGAAAGUCAUACACUUUUAAAUUUCUGCUAUUUCAAUAAAAUUGCAGUUGAUGUGUUCCGUCACUUGUCUGCAAAAUGACCAUUUUAAUUUGCUUGAAUUUGCUCUGAUUUUCAGGUGGUCUCUGAGGUAACAUAACUACUGUUCGGAUUUGCAGGUGCUCCCCAAAGUAGUGUUGCUACUACUGGGAUUUGCAGGUCCUCCUUGAGCCAGUGGCUACAUGUGAAAGUGAUUCAGCACGCUAGUUGGAAAAACAGGACUGCACAAAGAGUGUGGGGGCCAAACCAUUUGCUGCCCACUGCUGAGAACAGGGAACCCACAGUCAGCAGGACUGAUGUAAAAGACUUAGAGAGCUAUAGGCAGAAAUUUACAUCUCUAUCCUCUUGUGAACAGCGUCCAACAGCCACCUAUGCCAUGGAAGGAGUAGGACAUACAGAGUAGGGGAGAGGACCAUCGGCCUAAAGAAUGCUAACAUCCACAUUGGAUUGAGGCUCUCAGACAUUAAUUAACCAUGGGGAUGAUUCUUCACAGACAUGCCCACAGACCAAUCUGAUACAGAUUGUUCAAUGGAGAAUCUUUUCAGCUGCGUACCUAUCAUCCAGUAAAGAAAUGAACAGCCUGUUUCUUCGUUGCGGAUCAUUGCAUUUGGUUCCAAUAAUUAUUGGAUGAGGGCUUUAAGAUGAUAGUUGAGACAUUCAUCAAUCUGAUUAUAAGUGGAGGCCAGGCAUCCCCUCUACUAUUACUAGGAGUCUUAGACCAAGCUCUGGAAUCCAGUUGAAGAGAAGAGGGAAGGAAUAUAUGAGCAAGAGAGGUCAAGAUCAUGAUGAAGAAAUCUACAGAGAUACCUGAUCCAAGCUCACGGAAACUCAUGAACUCUAGACCUACAACUGUGGAAACUUUAGGGCAUUGAACUAGGCCUUCCAUAUGUGGGAGUCAGUUGUGAAGCUUGGACUAUCAGAGGGGUCCCUGACAGUAGAACUAUGAUACAAACCCGGUACAUGAGCUAGCUUGUUGGAGCCCAUUCCCUAGGGUGGGAUGCCAUGCUCAGCCCUUAUAGCAUGGGAGAGGGGCCUGACUCUGCCCCAACCUAUUGUGCCAGACUAUGUUGACUCCUCAUGUCCUCAUGUGAGUCCUUACCUGUGAGAAGGAGUGGACUGAGGGUGGUCUAUGGAGG
Molecule: long non-coding RNA, 1243 nt
Filed under: Cricetulus griseus (Chinese hamster)
Lineage: Eukaryota; Metazoa; Chordata; Mammalia; Rodentia; Cricetidae
Description: lncRNA (ENSCGRG00015035513.1)
Source: RNAcentral